UCUCCUUUCUAAGGAUGAUCCUUCAGCGAGCUCACGCUCACUAUCGGAUCGUUUUAGAAACAUCAGUGGCCAACAGAUCGCCAGAUCGUUGAGCUGCAUUGGCGGGAUUUCGCCGUCUUCGUUUCUCUUUCUUCGCGGACGAACACGCGCUGGGCCUGCAACGGCAGGAUCCAGGGUCCUUAACGGGAUGUGCGUUAGGGGCUUGUAGCUCAGUUGGUUAGAGCGCGCGCUUGAUAAGCGUGAGGUCGGAAGUUCAAGUCUUCCCAGGCCCACCACUUUCAUCGAGUGUGCAUUCGUCUUCUGGUUACGGGGCCAUAGCUCAGCUGGGAGAGCGCGUGCUUUGCAAGCAUGAGGUCGUCGGUUCGAUCCCGUCUGGCUCCACCAGAUGGUUUGAUCACCGAGAUCUUGUACCGUCGUCCGCGAAACAUCACUUCGCAUCCUGCUAGUCUGGAUAGACAGCAAGAUGCGUGUUUUCUGACAUCGUAAAGAGGAGAUCGAUCCGAGUUGGGUCGUGUAGCAGAUUGCUGCGCGAGCCUUCAUUAUCUCCGGAUCAUUUUCGGCGCUCGCGUCCGACCGCAAGGUUGGUUGCGAGUUGUAAAAUGAUCCUUUUAGCGAAGCUUGACCGCCUCGCUAUCGGAACGAUCUUACGAAGCAAGCUGGUCUUUCUAGUCAAUGUCCGGCUGUACGUAGCGUUCAUCGAGGGCGCGCGCCGCAAGGCAAUCGUACAGACAACAUUCUGCCGAGUGGGUGGACAUUGAUAAUGAGAGCAAUCAAGUGCCUUAAGGGUGUUCGGUGGAUGCCUUGGCGCUGAGAGGCGAUGAAGGACGUGCUACGCUGCGAUAAGCCGUGGGGGAGCUGCGAAGAAGCUUUGAUCCGCGGAUUUCCGAUGGGGGAAAAC
Molecule: unclassified non-coding RNA, 898 nt
Filed under: Bradyrhizobium arachidis
Lineage: Bacteria; Pseudomonadati; Pseudomonadota; Alphaproteobacteria; Hyphomicrobiales; Nitrobacteraceae
Description: partial contains 16S-23S ribosomal RNA intergenic spacer and large subunit ribosomal RNA
Rfam family: Bacterial large subunit ribosomal RNA (bases 769-898)
Source: RNAcentral